This 1307-nucleotide ribosomal RNA is filed under the name metagenome. RNAcentral's name for it is "bacterial LSU rRNA". It matches the Rfam family "Bacterial large subunit ribosomal RNA", at positions 1637 to 2925 of the family's 2925-position model. The record is from RNAcentral.
AGGAACCGUACCCCAAACCGACACAGGUGGUUGGGUAGAGAAUACCAAGGCGCUUGAGAGAACUCGGGUGAAGGAACUAGGCAAAAUGGCACCGUAACUUCGGGAGAAGGUGCGCCGGUGAGGGUGAAGGACUUGCUCCGUAAGCCCACGCCGGUCGAAGAUACCAGGCCGCUGCGACUGUUUAUUAAAAACACAGCACUCUGCAAACACGAAAGUGGACGUAUAGGGUGUGACGCCUGCCCGGUGCCGGAAGGUUAAUUGAUGGGGUUAGCUAACGCGAAGCUCUUGAUCGAAGCCCCGGUAAACGGCGGCCGUAACAAUAACGGUCCUAAGGUAGCGAAAUUCCUUGUCGGGUAAGUUCCGACCUGCACGAAUGGCGUAACGAUGGCGGCGCUGUCUCCACCCGAGACUCAGUGAAAUUGAAAUCGCUGUGAAGAUGCAGUGUAUCCGCGGCUAGACGGAAAGACCCCGUGAACCUUUACUAUAGCUUUGCACUGGACUUUGAAUUUGCUUGUGUAGGAUAGGUGGGAGGCUUUGAAGCGUGGACGCCAGUUCGCGUGGAGCCAACCUUGAAAUACCACCCUGGCAACUUUGAGGUUCUAACUCAGGUCCGUUAUCCGGAUCGAGGACAGUGUAUGGUGGGUAGUUUGACUGGGGCGGUCUCCUCCUAAAGAGUAACGGAGGAGUACGAAGGUGCGCUCAGACCGGUCGGAAAUCGGUCGUAGAGUAUAAAGGCAAAAGCGCGCUUGACUGCGAGACAGACACGUCGAGCAGGUACGAAAGUAGGUCUUAGUGAUCCGGUGGUUCUGUAUGGAAGGGCCAUCGCUCAACGGAUAAAAGGUACUCCGGGGAUAACAGGCUGAUACCGCCCAAGAGUUCAUAUCGACGGCGGUGUUUGGCACCUCGAUGUCGGCUCAUCACAUCCUGGGGCUGAAGCCGGUCCCAAGGGUAUGGCUGUUCGCCAUUUAAAGUGGUACGCGAGCUGGGUUUAGAACGUCGUGAGACAGUUCGGUCCCUAUCUGCCGUGGACGUUUGAGAUUUGAGAGGGGCUGCUCCUAGUACGAGAGGACCGGAGUGGACGAACCUCUGGUGUUCCGGUUGUCACGCCAGUGGCAUUGCCGGGUAGCUAUGUUCGGAAUAGAUAACCGCUGAAAGCAUCUAAGCGGGAAACUAGCCUCAAGAUGAGAUCUCACUGGGACCUUGAGUCCCCUGAAGGGCCGUCGAAGACUACGACGUUGAUAGGUUGGGUGUGUAAGCGCUGUGAGGCGUUGAGCUAACCAAUACUAAUUGCCCGUGAGGCUUGACUA